UACGAAGGGGGCUAGCGUUGUUCGGAAUCACUGGGCGUAAAGGGCGCGUAGGCGGCUUUGUAAGUCGGGGGUGAAAGCCUGUGGCUCAACCACAGAAUUGCCUUCGAUACUGCAUGGCUUGAGACCGGAAGAGGUAAGUGGAACUGCGAGUGUAGAGGUGAAAUUCGUAGAUAUUCGCAAGAACACCAGUGGCGAAGGCGGCUUACUGGUCCGGUUCUGACACUGAGGCGCGAAAGCGUGGGGAGCAAACAGG
Molecule: ribosomal RNA, 253 nt
Filed under: uncultured bacterium
Lineage: Bacteria
Description: partial 16S ribosomal RNA
Rfam family: Bacterial small subunit ribosomal RNA
Source: RNAcentral